GAUGAACGCUAGCGGCAGGCUUAACACAUGCAAGUCGAACGGUAACAGAAAAAGCUUGCUUUUUGCUGACGAGUGGCGAACGGGUGAGUAACGCGUAUGCAACCUACCUUUAACUGAGGAAUAGCCCAGAGAAAUUUGGAUUAAUACCUCAUAAUAACAUUUUAACUCAUGUUUUUAUGUUUAAAGCUUUUGCGGUUAAAGAUGGGCAUGCGUGACAUUAGUUUGUUGGUGUGGUAACGGCACACCAAGACUACGAUGUCUAGGGGGUCUGAGAGGAUGAUCCCCCACACUGGUACUGAGACACGGACCAGACUCCUACGGGAGGCAGCAGUGAGGAAUAUUGGGCAAUGGAGGCAACUCUGACCCAGCCAUGCCGCGUGCAGGAAGAAGGUCCUAUGGAUUGUAAACUGCUUUUAUUUGGGAAUAAACCCCUCUACGUGUAGAGGGCUGAAGGUACCAAACGAAUAAGCACCGGCUAACUCCGUG
Molecule: ribosomal RNA, 486 nt
Filed under: uncultured bacterium
Lineage: Bacteria
Description: bacterial SSU rRNA
Rfam family: Bacterial small subunit ribosomal RNA
Source: RNAcentral